GGUUAAGCGACUAAGCGUACACGGUGGAUGCCCUGGCAGUCAGAGGCGAUGAAGGGCGUGCUAAUCUGCGAUAAGCGCCGGUAAGGUGAUAUGAACCGUUAUAACCGGCGAUACCCGAAUGGGGAAACCCAGUGUGAUUCGUCACACUAUCAUUAACUGAAUCCAUAGGUUAAUGAGGCGAACCGGGGGAACUGAAACAUCUAAGUACCCCGAGGAAAAGAAAUCAACCGAGAUUCCCCCAGUAGCGGCGAGCGAACGGGGAGGAGCCCAGAGCCUGAAUCAGCAUGUGUGUUAGUGGAAGCGUCUGGAAAGGCGCGCGAUACAGGGUGACAGCCCCGUACACAAAAGCGCAUGUGCUGUGAGCUCGAUGAGUAGGGCGGGACACGUGGUAUCCUGUCUGAAUAUGGGGGGACCAUCCUCCAAGGCUAAAUACUCCUGACUGACCGAUAGUGAACCAGUACCGUGAGGGAAAGGCGAAAAGAACCCCGGCGAGGGGAGUGAAAAAGAACCUGAAACCGUGUACGUACAAGCAGUGGGAGCCCCACCACUAAGCCAGUGGUGAACUCCACAUCCGCAUCCUUUGCUGAGGAUACGGUUAACGGAGCGAAAGCGACGUUCAACCGCAAAACAAGCAGAGGGGGCUUAGUGGUGGGGUGACUGCGUACCUUUUGUAUAAUGGGUCAGCGACUUAUAUUCUGUAGCAAGGUUAACCGAAUAGGGGAGCCGGAGGGAAACCGAGUCUUAAUUGGGCGUUAAGUUGCAGGGUAUAGACCCGAAACCCGGUGAUCUAGCCAUGGGCAGGUUGAAGGUUGGGUAACACUAACUGGAGGACCGAACCGACUAAUGUUGAAAAAUUAGCGGAUGACCUGUGGCUGGGGGUGAAAGGCCAAUCAAACCGGGAGAUAGCUGGUUCUCCCCGAAAGCUAUUUAGGUAGCGCCUCGUGAAUUCAUCUCCGGGGGUAGAGCACUGUUUCGGCUAGGGGGCCAUCCCGGCUUACCAACCCGAUGCAAACUGCGAAUACCGGAGAAUGUUAUCACGGGAGACACACGGCGGGUGCUAACGUCCGUCGUGAAGAGGGAAACAACCCAGACCGCCAGCUAAGGUCCCAAAGUCAUGGUUAAGUGGGAAACGAUGUGGGAAGGCCCAGACAGCCAGGAUGUUGGCUUAGAAGCAGCCAUCAUUUAAAGAAAGCGUAAUAGCUCACUGGUCG
This 1211-nucleotide ribosomal RNA is filed under the name Salmonella enterica subsp. enterica serovar Typhimurium str. LT2-4. Its description in RNAcentral is "bacterial LSU rRNA". It matches the Rfam family "Bacterial large subunit ribosomal RNA", at positions 1 to 1151 of the family's 2925-position model. The record is from RNAcentral. Lineage: Bacteria; Pseudomonadati; Pseudomonadota; Gammaproteobacteria; Enterobacterales; Enterobacteriaceae.